UUUCCGUAGGUGAACCUGCGGAAGGAUCAUUACUGAAUAACCGACGAGCAAGGGCUGUUGCUCACCCGAUAGGUUGUGCACGCCCGAGUGCCCUCACACCUCCAACUCACCCCUACGUGCACCACCGCGCGAAUCCCCCUUUGUCUUGUUCGGACGGGGGCUUACGUUUAACCACAAACUCUGUACGUAGUGCAGAAGGUAUUUUUUGUUUUUGCGAGCAGGCAAACACAACAACUUUCAAGAACAGAUCUCUUGACUCCCGCAUCGUUGAAGCACGCC
This 279-nucleotide unclassified non-coding RNA is filed under the name plant metagenome. Its description in RNAcentral is "partial contains small subunit ribosomal RNA, internal transcribed spacer 1, and 5.8S ribosomal RNA". The record is from RNAcentral.